This 292-nucleotide ribosomal RNA is filed under the name uncultured bacterium. RNAcentral describes it as "partial 16S ribosomal RNA". It matches the Rfam family "Bacterial small subunit ribosomal RNA", at positions 32 to 304 of the family's 1533-position model. The record is from RNAcentral.
AAUCAACGCUGGCGGCGUGCCUCAGACAUGCAAGUCGAACGCGAAAGUUCCCUUCGGGGAGCGAGUAGAGUGGCGCACGGGUGAGUAACACGUAGGUAAUUUACCUUCGGUGGGAGUAACANCCGAACGGACUGCUAAUACCGCAUAAUGCAGCGGCUCGACAUCGAGACAGUUGUUAAAGCGGGGGAGUCGCAAGACCUCGCGCCUGAAGAGAAGCCUGCGGCAGAUUAGCUAGUUGGUGGGGUAAGUGGCUCACCAAGGCGACGAUCUGUAGCCGGCCUGAGAGGGCGGU